CUUGUGUCGGGCAGGGCUGUAUCCAUGUCUGUAGCAGGUCUCCAAGGUGAACAGCCUCUGGAAGGCUGGAAAAAUGUAG
Molecule: long non-coding RNA, 79 nt
Organism: Otolemur garnettii (small-eared galago)
Lineage: Eukaryota; Metazoa; Chordata; Mammalia; Primates; Galagidae
Exons: 3
Source: RefSeq, a predicted model, not a curated record